UAUACUUUGAGAUAAAUCCAAAA
This 23-nucleotide small nuclear RNA is filed under the name Arabidopsis thaliana (thale cress). RNAcentral describes it as "snRNA_05673". Lineage: Eukaryota; Viridiplantae; Streptophyta; Magnoliopsida; Brassicales; Brassicaceae. The record is from RNAcentral.